This 207-nucleotide long non-coding RNA is filed under the name Solanum tuberosum (potato). Its description in RNAcentral is "long non-coding RNA (STUB_LNC000704)". The record is from RNAcentral. Lineage: Eukaryota; Viridiplantae; Streptophyta; Magnoliopsida; Solanales; Solanaceae.
ACAAGAUUAUAUGGGUUAAAUUGAGGAAUCUGAUAGCUCAACUUCAUAUCAAGACGACUGAGUCAAAUAACUCAUUGUUGGACUCAUCGCCUGGGUUGUUACACGAAGACGACACGAAUGUAUUGAUUGAAGUGGCUCAAGGAAUCAUUUCGAUGCUGGUCCAUUUACUCGAUUUCAGCUCUUUGUUGGAGAUUAGGAAGAAAAUUG